RNAcentral lists this long non-coding RNA (1293 nucleotides) under Sus scrofa (pig). Its description in RNAcentral is "lncRNA (multiple genes)". The record is from RNAcentral. Lineage: Eukaryota; Metazoa; Chordata; Mammalia; Artiodactyla; Suidae.
GGGGUGGAGCCCUGAUGAAGGCUCCUUAAGAGAAGAGGAAGAGCACUAACCUCUCUCCAUUUUGUGAGGACCAACGAGAAUUCAGCCAUCAACAAGCCAGAAAGAGGGCCCCCACCAAGAACCAAAUCUGCUUCCACCUUGAUCUUGGACCUCCAGAACUGUGGGAAUUAAAUGUUUGUCGUUGAAGUGCCCUAGUCCAAGACUACAACGCAGCAAUAAGAAGAGAAGGAACUACAGCAGGACACAGUGACAUGGGAUGGCUCUCACAGACUUAAUGAUGAGUGAAAGAAGUCAGACCCCGAAUAGUACGGAGUGUGUAUUUGCUCAGGUCAUCAGCAGCUUUUCUCCGCCUCCAGGACAGCUCAGGUGCUCAGGAGUAAUCCAUGUGUGAGAUGGGUCUGCAAUGCGAGGAGUAAUUCCAGCAGCCAGACUGAACCCCUCGGAUUACAAGGAUUUCCAAUCCUCUCAAAACCUGACAAAUGACUCCCUUAGUGCGUGGACUCUGUAGCAUCAAAAUAACCAAUGAUGGGAUGGUUUUGACCAAAUUACCCAACAGAGGAACGAGGGGAGGAACGGGGAAGAAACAGGGCUAUUAAGACAGCCGACUCCCAUCAUUCAGUAUCAUGAAGAAGCCAAUGCAAGGCCUUCAUCAUCUUCAUUUCAAGGCUUAGGCCGAGUUUCCUGGGAAUCCUGUGAAUCCUUGGAGAAGUCGAUGCUCCAGAUGUGCUUCCAAGUUGAGCGGCUCACCAGCAACCUGAACUUCGCGACGUUUUUGUUUCUCCUUGCAUUUGCAUUCUCAGGGACAGGAGGUUCCGUCGCAAUUGUCCUGGGUUCCAGCCCAUCAAAGCCAGGUGAGUCACGGAUCCCAGGUCUGUUAGUGUCUUCUUUGUGGUUGUCACCAUUGCCACCGUUUUAGAUUUUGCCUCUUUUAGGGAAGCCAGGCUGCAGAGUGGUGAAAGCUUAGAUAGUAGACACCCCCACCUGGCCAUUACCUAGUUUUAAUCUCUCUGGGCCUCAUCUUCUCAUCUACAGCAUGGGAAUCAAAGCUAUUUUAAGAUUAACUGAGUAAAGCAUAAUUUUUCAAGAAGGAAAAUUAGUAUUUUAGUAUCCUGUUUUAUGGCUUUCGGAUCUAACAGUCACUACACACACCUUAGACCAGAGGAUAUAAUGCCUACAUUUCUGUGAAACUCCCUCAAAUUCCACCACUCUGUCCUGCCCACAUUUGGCAGAAAUUUAAUAUUUAAUUUUUUAUUUGAGUCCAGUAUAUUCGACUGCCUGCAGCGGAUACAAGUU